AACGAACGCUGGCGGCAUGCCUAACACAUGCAAGUCGAACGAGACCUUCGGGUCUAGUGGCUCACGGGUGCGUAACGCGUGGGACCCUGCCUUUAGGCUCGGAAUAACUCAGAUAAAUUUGAGCUAAUACCGGAUAAUGUCCUCGGACCAAAGAUUUAUCGCCUUUAGAUGGGCCCGCGUUGGACUAGCUAGUUGGUGGGGUAAAAGCCUACCAAGGCGACGAUCCUUAGCUGGUCAGAGAGGAUGAUCAGCCACACUGAGGCUGAGACACGGCCCAGAAUCCUACGCGAGGCAGCAGUGGGGAAUAUUGGACAAUGGGCGAAAGCCUGAUCCAGCAAUGCCGCGUGAGUGAUGAAGUCCUUAGGGUUGUAAAGCUCUUUUACCCGAGAUGAUAAUGACAGUACCGGGAGAAUAAGCUCCGGCUAACUCCGUG
Molecule: ribosomal RNA, 433 nt
Filed under: uncultured bacterium
Lineage: Bacteria
Description: partial 16S ribosomal RNA
Rfam family: Bacterial small subunit ribosomal RNA
Source: RNAcentral